Molecule: long non-coding RNA, 2128 nt
Organism: Cavia porcellus (domestic guinea pig)
Lineage: Eukaryota; Metazoa; Chordata; Mammalia; Rodentia; Caviidae
Source: Ensembl
GACGAGACGGUCACGCCCCUGCGUGGCCCCGCCCUGACCACGCCCCCUGGUGGACCUAGGGUCCCCACCGUCUUUGCUACCCGCGGCUGUUCAGUCCUCUCUCUGCACUACGGAGUGUCCCCGAGUCCCGUUUGGGGGACGGGACAGGGGUGGAAUCGAGCGCCUGUCCCGCCUCCCUAACCUUUGGCCUCUGGUCUGCGGGUUCAGGAGAGGCCGAGAGGCGGCGUCCGGGAGGGGCCGGCCUGGCAGGAAGUUCGGCCAGGGUGGCCCGGGAAAGGGAAGAAGCCACGUCGCCCCAGGCACUCAGGGGCCCCGCUGGGCCGCCCCGGAGGCCUACGUCCCCUCCACCCCUGUUCCUGAGCAGCUGCCACCCAAUCCCGCGCCUGCAUGGGGCACAGAGCCUAGCCCGGGCAGUGACCUGGUUUCCACUCUGGUGCCCUCCGCCACCUCCCUGGACGCCCUCUGCCUCAGUUUCCCCUCCUGUGCGGUGGACGGCGGGAAGGGGGCUGGCUUCUCCCGGCCCUCCCUCCCAUAGAGUUUUAAUAAACCUGGGUGCUUGUUCUACAAAGAAAAACCUUGCAAAGAACGGAGACUCCAGCUUGUGGACUCCAAAGAUGUCUGAGGAAGUGGGGAGCAGCUGUCUCUGGGCCCUCGCUGAGUUCGAUCACCUGGCUGUGUCUGUAAUCAGUGAGUAUGUGGCCGGGAGGGUUCGUGGCAGAGGCAUCGCCCCUGGCCAGCGGUCCUUGCCCUGACCCGGGAGCUCACAGCCGGAGGAAAUGGCAGAGCUCCCAAGGUGCAGGAGCAGUAAGGGGCCAAGGAAGUGCCCGGGGUGAGGAAAGCUCCGAGUUUUGUGAGAUCCGGGCUUGCAGGAUCUCUGCAUCCUGAGAGUCGGUGGAAGGGCCGGGGACGCGGGAUGGUUAGGUCCAUUCAUUCAUCUCCAGGCUCCCACGCUUGACUGCUCCAGACACACACACUGCGGAUCCUGCUCAUCCCAGCAGGAUGACUCAAAGGCAGGUUCUAAUGGGGCGCCUGACCCUCUUUAUCUUUGCAGGCUCCAGGAAGCCAGGAGCAACUUGAGUGUCCUGUCCUACAGUGGCCCGCCUACCACGGUGACUCACCACUAACCAAGUCUAUUUAGAGGCAAGGGUUUAGGGUUUGGGGAGUUGCAUUAGUCAGCUUCGUGUUACUAUAACAAAUACCUGAGAUCAUCUGUCUGCAGGCCCGCAGUCUUGGAGGUUCUAGUCUAGUUGAGCCUGUGAUUGGUCCAAAUUCAAGCCUGCUGAUUGGUCUAAAUUUGAGCCUGCUGAUUGGCCCAAAUUGGUCAGAAACACAAGCCUUUUAAUAUGAGCCUGCCAACUGGUCCACAUUUAACUCUGCCCCUGUUUCAAAUUCAAGGCGGUCCCACUCCCACCCUCCAACAGUCAGAGUGGUCCACCCCCAGAAAGGGGCGGGCCUCCAGGACAGCCAACUGCAGCAGUCAGUAGGCAUAGCCCCACCCGGGCCUUAGAGGUAAAGGGAAGAGGCCCUCCACUCGGAUCUGUCUCAGGAAGAGGGUUUGAGGGCCGGCCUUUGCAGAACCAGGACUCCAGGGACCUCAACCUUGGACUUCCAGAACUGUGAGAGACCCACACUUCGGGUUAGGUUUCCCAAACACCCUUCACAGCCUUAAGGCUGCUUUCUUUUCCGCGAUAAUUUUUUGAAAUGCACAUUCAGUGCUCACAGCACAACUCAGUUCGGACUCACUGCCACUCACGAAGCGGAUGUGUGUUGGAUGCUGUUACCCAUCAUCUUGAAUCACAAGCUCUAGUGUCCCUUGGGAGGUCGGGAGGCCUGGUAACCUUUGGUUGCUAGGCCUCGUCCCGGGGUUCCUACAGCAGUGACUCCAGCGUUGGCUGGGAGGCUGCGUUCCUGACCAAGGUGCAGGAGAAGCUACUGCUGGUCCGAGGACCACACUUCAAGAACCACAGGCCUAGACCUCUGCAACGAGCAGGAAACAUGCUUUUUCCUCCACCUGCAGCCCCUGGAAACCGCUUCUUACUAUGAUGCUGCAGUGUAAGGACAAGGAAGUGUUAGUGUAGAGAUCCACACCCGGAUGGAUGGAAUAAAAUGGAAAAUCCAGAAAUAAACC